Molecule: unclassified non-coding RNA, 364 nt
Filed under: uncultured bacterium
Lineage: Bacteria
Description: contains 16S-23S intergenic spacer region
Rfam family: 5.8S ribosomal RNA (bases 1-126)
Source: RNAcentral
UGCAUCGAUGAAGAACGCAGCGAAAUGCGAUAAGUAAUGUGAAUUGCAGAAUUCAGUGAAUCAUCGAAUCUUUGAACGCACAUUGCGCCCGUCAGUAUUCUGGCGGGCAUGCCUGUUCGAGCGUCAUUACGCCCCUCAAGUCCCCUGUGGACUUGGUGUUGGGGAUCGGCGAGGCUGGUUUUCCAGCACAGCCGUCCCUUAAAUUAAUUGGCGGUCUCGCCGUGGCCCUCCUCUGCGCAGUAGUAAAACACUCGCAACAGGAGCCCGGCGCGGUCCACUGCCGUAAAACCCCCCAACUUUUUAUAGUUGACCUCGAAUCAGGUAGGACUACCCGCUGAACUUAAGCAUAUCAAUAAGCGGAGGA